RNAcentral lists this ribosomal RNA (374 nucleotides) under uncultured organism. RNAcentral describes it as "partial 16S ribosomal RNA". It matches the Rfam family "Bacterial small subunit ribosomal RNA", at positions 527 to 896 of the family's 1533-position model. The record is from RNAcentral.
GUAGGUGGCAAGCGUUGUCCGGAAUUAUUGGGCGUAAAGCGCGCGCAGGCGGUCCUUUAAGUCUGAUGUGAAAGCCCACGGCUCAACCGUGGAGGGUCAUUGGAAACUGGGGGACUUGAGUGCAGAAGAGGAAAGCGGAAUUCCAAGUGUAGCGGUGAAAUGCGUAGAGAUUUGGAGGAACACCAGUGGCGAAGGCGGCUUUCUGGUCUGUAACUGACGCUGAGGCGCGAAAGCGUGGGGAGCAAACAGGGAUUAGAUACCCUGGUAGUCCACGCCGUAAACGAUGAGUGCUAAGUGUUAGGGGGGUUUCCGCCCCCUUAGUGCUGCAGCUAACGCAUUAAGCACGCCGCCUGGGGAGUACGGCCGCAAGGCUG